UAACCUGCCCAAGAGAUCGGGAUAACACCUGGAAACAGAUGCUAAUACCGGAUAAUAACAGAUGAUGCCUAUCAACUGUUUAAAAGAUGGUUCUGCUAUCACUCUUGGAUGGACCUGCGGUGCAUUAGCUAGUUGGUAGGGUAACGGCCUACCAAGGCGAUGAUGCAUAGCCGAGUUGAGAGACUGAUCGGCCACAUUGGGACNGAGACACGGCCCAAACUCCUACGGGAGGCAGCAGAC
This 240-nucleotide ribosomal RNA is filed under the name uncultured Lactobacillus sp. Its description in RNAcentral is "partial 16S ribosomal RNA". It matches the Rfam family "Bacterial small subunit ribosomal RNA", at positions 122 to 354 of the family's 1533-position model. The record is from RNAcentral. Lineage: Bacteria; Bacillati; Bacillota; Bacilli; Lactobacillales; Lactobacillaceae.